GGUAAGCGCACGAUUCGCCUCUGCCACUCCACCUCGCCUCGAGACGAGCCGACCCGCCAGUCGCUCGCGACUCUGUCUCUGGCUCGGUUGCACGCUCCCGUCUGACAGCCGUCAUCGUCGACCUCCCUUCUUUCACGACCGCCCACGAGUCCAUCGUAGGGAGAGAGAUCGGUUCCGGCGAGAGAUCGGAGGCGGUCUCGCGUCCCGCGUAAAAUCGUCCUCCGUCACGUCGUUCUCGUUCUCGUCAUCGUCAUCGUCGUCGUCGCGAGAGGAUCAACCCCGCGCGAUCCCGCUGUCGACGCCCCGGAACCGUCCAAAACCGAAGUGGAGAAUUCACCGUUGCUUAUCGAGCGCGCACGUGUUCUCCUCUCCUCCGUUCGUUCCGCCGUUCUCUUGCUACUAUCAGUCUUGUCUCCCUCGGGAAACCGACCGCGGGCUUCGAUCCUAUCGGAAAUACUGAGUGUGCUCCUCGCGUUCUUCAUUCCUGUCGAAGAAUCGUCCCGCUCUCAUCCCUUUGACGUCGAUCGAUUUUCGCGAUCAUCCCUCGCGAUCGUACUGACAUCACGAUUCCGGAGUGCUGGUGCGGGUUCCCACGCGAGUGGUGGUCCACGUUUGAGCUGACGAAACAGUGAAUCUGCCGGUUUCCGGUCAUACGCGCGGUGAUUGUGGAUCGCUGUGGCUAUAUUUUGGUGAACGCCGUCGUACGGUGCGCUCUUGAUGAAUGUGGUGCGCUAGGAAAGUUUAGACCCUUCGACAACCAACCCGGCAAUCCCCAGCUGGAUUCCUCUCGAUCAUGCGUCGGGCACAGGGUCCCAUCCGCAGGACCGCGGCGAUCGUUCUCCUGUUCCUCGGCGGAUCCGCCGUUCUGCUGCGCGAAGCCAAAGGAAGCGGCGAGCCGUGGUUGAGGAGCGAGAAGCACGCCGAGUUGAGUACGGAGGUUCUACUGCCGUGCGUCUUGAAGUCACCGCAAUGCGAGGGCCUACACAGCAUCAAAUGGUACCGCGGACCCACGCGAAUUUUCAUAUUCAGCGAGGAUGCCGGUAUAAUACGCGGCAACAACGAUAUCGCUGCCAGAGCCGACAUAGACUAUUCUACGAAUUCAUCGAAAACCUAUCUGAAGAUACCGAAAGUUAAGUUGGAGGACGAGGGCCUCUACAAGUGCGAAGCUACAUACAUGGCGGUCAACCGCGAGUGCAACAAUGUGCAGCAUAUUAUCCUUAACGUAACGGUGCAACCGGCAUUCGUACGUGUCAUCGAUGAAAAUUCGAAGAAUACUCUGAGCACUGGUGCCACUUUGGGGCCUAUAAACGAGGGUUCGCCAAUAUCGUUGUAUUGCGAGAGUGGCGAAGGCAAACCUGUACCCACGGUCCAGUGGUUUAAAGGUGACCAGCUACUUGAAGCGACAAGCUCGUCCACCAUUGCUGAUACCGGAAUAGGCACUGGCAGUAGUUUACUGGAGAUGCAAAUUACUCGGGAAGAGUUAGGCGCAACGUUCACGUGUAAAGUCAACAGUAUCGCUCUCGUGGAGCCACUCACGGUUGAUAUCAAACCAGAUGUACAUGUGCGCCCGCUGAAGAUGGGCUUAGCCGGAGUGGUUGGUCAUGUCGUGCAGGGAACCAAGAUCUUAUUGCAGUGCAAGGUAGAGGCAGCGCGACCCGCCGCCAACGUGACCUGGCAGAACGGAACGCAGUUCUUAAACGAGAGCAGCGAGCGAGUCGAGAUGUUUGAGACGAAAGUACACGAAAACGAGGACGGUACAUCGGAGACGAAAAGUUACCUCGCUUUUACAGCAUCGGUGUAUGACAACGGCAAAACGUUCAAGUGCUUCGCUGAGAAUUCGGUUACUCGCACCGAAGACUUGAAGCCAAUGAAGGAAGUGACAACGAUCGAUGUGUUAUAUCCGCCGAUGAUUAAAAUAAAACCAAUCAACAUAACGGUUAACGAGACAGAUGAUUUUCUGAUAUUCUGCGAUUACGAGGCAAAUCCAGCUACGUUAAUAAAAGUGACAUGGUUACGAGACGACGAAGAAUUAGUAUUAAACGACGACCAUUACGACGGCGGAGUCACAGAACAAACAGCGCUCACGGUGAAAAACGCGACUCCCAGCGACAUGGGUUCUUACAAAUGCAUCCUGGAGAACGACGUCGCCUCGUCGGUUUCCGAGGACACCGUGGAAGUUUCGGUCUUUUACAAACCGGUGGUGGAGGUGAUAAUAGACCCGGAGACACCUGUGAACGAAGCGGAUCGCCUGAACGUAUCGUUAACGUGCGAGGUCGAUGCCGGUAAUCCGGCGAUGCUGACGGCCGUCCGUUGGUAUUUGGACGGUGAUCUAUUGAAAGAACUUCCGGACUGCACGAGGAACAGCACUGCCAUGACAACGACCACCGAGGAGUCGUUGACGUUCUGCGACAUCGACCCCAGCAAACUGCUGCUGGAGGCUGUCGGUCGCUCCUUCCACGGCAACUAUUCCUGUGAGGGGAGAAACGAGGCUGGUUGGGGACCGAUCUCACCUAGCACGCCUGUCAUAGUUUAUUAUAAGCCCGGUCCGGCGUCGAUAUCGUACGAACCCCGGAAAGUGGUGAAGAAGCAUCUAUUAUCCAUCACUUGCUUCGUUUUGGAUCCCGGACGACCGAAGGUGUCGGGCUUCAAGUGGCUGCGCGGCUGGCAUCGACUUCCAGACGAGAACGACGCCACGCUCGUCAUCGAGUCGGUUAAUUUGGAAACCGAGGCAAAUUUCACAUGCCUGGCUUAUAACGAGGCCGGCGACGGCGAACCAGCCACAACGUUUAUCGACGUAUCCGCGGCGCCAACGUUCAUUAAGAAGUUACCCCCGUAUUACGGUUACCUGUACAACGCGCCUAACGUGAGCAUCAUGUGCUGGGUCGAAUGCGCCCCGAUCUGCAAUAUUUCCUGGCUGAGGGAUGACAUUCCCAUGGACUUCUCGAAAACGAAUCGAUACUACGUGUCGAACGUUUAUCAUCCGCCUGACCCAAGGACCAGCGACUUCGAGAGCAUCCAAUCGACCCUUGUAUGGAAUCUGACGGUCUGGCCGAACGGUGAGCUCGACCGUGCCGAGGAUAACAGCAAAUUCACCUGCAAGAGCAGCAGCAACGGGAUUGGCCCAGGCGUGGAGAGUAGUACUUACUUUCACGUCGAGUUCCCUCCGGAAGAAAUUAUAAUAUCGAAGAAAAUAAUCAACGUGACGGUGGACACGAUACCGGAAACCGUCAAGUGCGACGCGAAGGCGCGACCGAAACCGAUCUUCCGGUGGUUCCGCGAGGGAUCCGCCGACACCAUUAUGGAGGGCCACGUGCUCGACUUGAAAAUGCCGGUACCCCGGCGUAGCAAUGGUUCUUACUACUGCGAGGCGUCGAAUCGUCACGGUUCCCUGAAUAUCUCGAUGGUCAUGAAUGUGCAAUUUAAACCCGAAUGCUACAUAGAGAAAGAGCGAUUCGAGGGACAGGACUACGUGGUUUGCUCAGCCAUUGCCAAUCCGAAAGAGUCGGAUUUCGUCUGGUCAUUGAAAAGUGACAAUGAUACAUUGGAACAAGUCCCAGAAAUGCGGAACGGGAGAAGUUACAUGCUUCUCGAUACUUCGGUUACUAAUUUCCGGACGUACAUAUGCGUGGCGAACAAUACAAUUGGCCAUUCUGCACCAUGUGAACGUGAUAUACCAGCCUACCAUGGACAUAAAAGUCAUAUACCCUGGUGGCAUCAAUUGGAGGGUAAUCUGCUGCUGAUCAUUAUCGUCGUAGCUGUGGUCAUCAUACUGGUCCUAAUACUGAUCUGCGUGGCCAUCUACAUCGUGUGCCGGCGGAAGCACAGCGAAAUGAAAUAUCCCAAUCAAGCUGCGAAUAACAAUCACGUGAACAGCGUGUCGGAAGGUCUUGCCGACUCCGGAACAAAGACGUUCUACGAAAAUUUACCCUUCCACGGGAUCCAAGCGCCGCCUAAUAAGUUGGUUACUCCUAAGUUUGCCCGAGUUUCGGCUUUGCAUGGCACGUUGCAUCAGUCCGUCACGGCCUCACCGUGCUCCUCGCGGCCACCAAGCAGAGCUGUUAGCCUCUGCGACGGCAGUUCCGGCUACGAGUCGACCAUGAGCCACCUAGGGCCCCACUACAACAUCUACAACGUGCCCAGGAGCAAUUCGCCGGUGCUCAAGUACAACACUCUGAAACCGCGGCGGCGCAAGCAGAAGCACUCGCAGCAGUUCUACUCACUGCGGCUGUGCCGUCGCCACGAGAACAUUCGCAGGAAAUACGAGCUGUACGCUAUACCGAUCUAUAAGACGUGCCCGCACCGGAGCGACAGCACGACCACGAUCGCGACGAUCAUGCGCUCGAUGGAGGACGCGCCGUCGCUGACUCUGAGCCAGGCAUCAGCGUCGAUGAGCCUGAUGACACGAUCGGCGCCAUCGACGCCGAUACCACCGUCACCGACGACGCCGCCGAUACCAGCGCCGAGGACGUCCAGAAAAACCGACCCGUCCAAACACACCUACCAAAAUGUUCCUCCCCCCGUUUUUCCACCGAAAAACGCUUCGUUGCCUAAGCUUAAGACCGACAGCCUAUACAACUACAAAGAGCAUUACCAGCAGCAGCAUCGGCAGGAGAUGCAGCAGUACAGCUACCCCUUACCGAGCAACAGUUCGAACCAACUAACACUGCCACUAACGCGCAGCCUCUACCAUUCCUCGAUAGUUAGUCCCCUGCAGACCUCCUUCGUCCACACUAACAGCAGCCGGCCGUCCACCCUGAUGCACCACGAGACCGCCGACGACACGAGCAAUCAUCUGCCCGCGGUGCAUCGGGACGAGGAGCAACAGCAGCCGAAUUACGGCAAUCACGACGCGAGACAGUCGUCGCGUCGACACGUGACGAAUCGGCGGAACGAUCGUAACCGGAAGUACCGGAAGCACGAACGCACGUCGACCGAUCGAAGCAAGUCGAAGCAGAGCCGACAGAGGGGUGACGUCGCACCACCCCGGCGCAGCGACUCCUUCGUCGGCUCGCCCGCCUGCGAGACCAGCUUCCACCAGAUCCCGGAUCUGGGCGUGCCGGAGACGAUGUACAAGAUUUCGUAUCCGCACUACUAUGAGGACGACAUCGCGGAGUGCUCGACAGACUAUCAUCGUCCUAACUCGGCGAUGGCGCGACAGCAGCUGCAGCAGCAGCAACAGCCAUGGGAGCGCCAAUCGAAUCGCUGCAUCGGUAACAGCACACAGCAAUUCGUGGACGCGGGCGAUGCGAAAAAUCGCAACAAAACGCCGAAGGCGAGAACGAUCUCCACGGGCCUCGGCGAUUCCCGCACGCCGUCCGCGCCCACGAUAAUGCAGUAUGCCGAGCUACACUUCCGGGAUGUCGGUCAGGAGAUCGAUGUCUAAAGGAGGGUCAGCCGACAAAGAGCGAUACGUACAUUUACUAGGAAUUCUGCGUCCGACAGGCCCUCCCUUCAAGCCGGAGUUCUCGGAUCUCGAUUAUGCGGACGUGGACUACAAGUCGUACGGCCCGAUUAACUAUAAAGCCGCC
RNAcentral lists this unclassified non-coding RNA (5528 nucleotides) under Ooceraea biroi (clonal raider ant). Its description in RNAcentral is "hemicentin-1, transcript variant X2". Lineage: Eukaryota; Metazoa; Arthropoda; Insecta; Hymenoptera; Formicidae. The record is from RNAcentral.